Macaca mulatta (Rhesus monkey) is the source of this 946-nucleotide non-coding RNA. The record is from RefSeq and is a predicted model, not a curated record. NCBI's taxonomy places the organism in Eukaryota, Metazoa, Chordata, Mammalia, Primates, Cercopithecidae.
AGCGGCGGCUGGGCCUUGCGGGCGGAGGAAGUGGAAGAAGUCGCGGGAGGGUAGGGGACCGCGGAACUUCUGGUUGCUAUGACGACGGCAAAGCCCUGGAUUCCUGUCUCCUGCGGAGAGCAGAGGCUGCAAACGUGGGUGCAGUUUUCAACCUGCCUCGCGCACUGGCGGUGGGGAAAGCUAGGGAUGGUUGCGGCAGGAUAAUUUUUAAACCGAUUCAAGAGGGCAUCUCUAGAAGACCACCGUCAAGAUACCUGGCCAAAUUUGGCAAAUGAGAAAUGAAAAGAGGCUUGCUCAUGACUUGGAAGCGGUGGGCUGAGGCCUCCCAAGACCAUCUGGCUUGUUCCAUUGCCAGCCAGAGUGGAGGCGACAUUCACACGAACCCAGGAGCUGCAGGGGCGCGUGAGCUGCAGCUGCCUUGUGGCAUCCAAGGAGCGCACAGUGAGAUUCCGCAGGAGAAAUCACGCUUUGCAUGUUCUUGAGUACAAGAAACAUGUGUAAAGAGGGUUUUUGUUUGUGGGCAUGCCAAGGAGAACGACUCGAAUAUUAAAGCCAUCACAACCUUUAUUUAAGGGAAAAGAGGACAAGAAUGAAUAUGCUGAUAGUUCAGAGAUAUUUAGGACCUUUGGCAGUUCAGCACUCAUCCUAAAUUUUUACAAAUAGCUUUCCGGAGAUGAAGCUUUUAAAAGCCUUUUAAAGGAAUUUUAUUUGUUCUUUUCACGUCGGGAAAAGUGAUGAGUAUAUCUACUCAGCCACUUUUUAUCUUCUAUCCUGCAAUCCAACCCACAUAAUUUUCAUGAAGAAAGCGGAAUGGUGUCAUUUUACAACAAGAAAACUGAGUUAAGAAUAAGUCCAAUCAAUUGCCAGGUGUUGGGACUGAAAUGGAAGUCUCUUAGUACUCCACCCAAGGAUUUUCGUAUUAAACAAUUAUCUUGUCAUCAUUUUA